UCCGGUUUGUCACCGGCAGUCUCACUAGAGUGCCCUUUCGUAGCAACUAGUGACAAGGGUUGCGCUCGUUGCGGGACUUAACCCAACAUCUCACGACACGAGCUGACGACAGCCAUGCAGCACCUGUGUCCCGGCUCCCUUUCGGGCACGCCCACAUCUCUGCGGGCUUCCGGGCAUGUCAAGGGUAGGUAAGGUUUUUCGCGUUGCAUCGAAUUAAUCCACAUCAUCCACCGCUUGUGCGGGUCCCCGUCAAUUCCUUUGAGUUUUAAUCUUGCGACCGUACUCCCCAGGCGGUCGACUUCACGCGUUAGCUGCGUUACCGAAGAUGUGAAUCCCCGACAACUAGUCGACAUCGUUUAGGGCGUGGACUAC
This 372-nucleotide unclassified non-coding RNA is filed under the name uncultured Gammaproteobacteria bacterium. Its description in RNAcentral is "contains 16S-23S intergenic spacer region". Lineage: Bacteria; Pseudomonadati; Pseudomonadota; Gammaproteobacteria. The record is from RNAcentral.